CGUGCUUGCAUUUCCUAUCAUGAUUUUCUUGAAAGAGGGUUACUGCUCACAAGGAAGCUAUUAAACCAAGAGUUCCAAAUGGUGAAGUUGAAAUCAUCCCUUCGUAAAUUUUACGGACGCCAUCACGAGUUGGUUGACCGUUAUGGAAUAACCGUUUCACAAAUGAUAUCGGAUAUGUUCCUUACGUCGUAACUACAAACCCCUUCCCUUUCAUGAAUGUGACCUACCGAAUUAGACUAUUUACCGGAUUUGUAAUCACAUAAGCAACACGACGGGUGCCACAUGUGGAGCAGGAUCUGCUUACCGUUCCGGAGCCCCUGAGAUCACCCCU
RNAcentral lists this long non-coding RNA (331 nucleotides) under Mytilus galloprovincialis (Mediterranean mussel). Lineage: Eukaryota; Metazoa; Mollusca; Bivalvia; Mytilida; Mytilidae. The record is from RNAcentral.